UGGGGAAUAUUGCGCAAUGGGGGCAACCCUGACGCAGCAAUACCGCGUGAGUGAAGAAGGUUUUCGGAUCGUAAAGCUCUGUUAUUGGGGAAGAAGAAUGACGGUACCCAAUGAGGAAGUCCCGGCUAACUACGUGCCAGCAGCCGCGGUAAUACGUAGGGGACAAGCGUUGUCCGGAAUGACUGGGCGUAAAGGGCGCGUAGGCGGUCUGAUAAGUCAGAUGUGAAAGGUACCGGCUCAACCGGUGACGUGCAUUUGAAACUGUCAGACUUGAGUAUUGGAGAGGCAAGUGGAAUUCCUAGUGUAGCGGUGAAAUGCGUAGAUAUUAGGAGGAACACCAGUGGCGAAGGCGGCUUGCUGGACAAAUACUGACGCUGAGGUGCGAAAGCGUGGGGAGCGAACAGG
Molecule: ribosomal RNA, 405 nt
Filed under: uncultured bacterium
Lineage: Bacteria
Description: bacterial SSU rRNA
Rfam family: Bacterial small subunit ribosomal RNA
Source: RNAcentral